RNAcentral lists this ribosomal RNA (376 nucleotides) under uncultured bacterium. RNAcentral describes it as "bacterial SSU rRNA". It matches the Rfam family "Bacterial small subunit ribosomal RNA", at positions 379 to 747 of the family's 1533-position model. The record is from RNAcentral.
AAGCCUGAUCCAGCAAUGCCGCGUGCAGGAUGCAGGCUUUCGGGUUGUAAACUGCUUUUGUACGGAACGAAAAAGCCUUCUCUAACACAGGGGGUGAAUGACGGUACCGUAAGAAUAAGCACCGGCUAACUACGUGCCAGCAGCCGCGGUAAUACGUAGGGGGCAAGCGUUGUCCGGAUUUACUGGGUGUAAAGGGCGCGCAGGCGGAAUGGAAAGUCAGUGGUGAAAUCCUACAGCUUAACUGUAGAAAUGCCUUUGGUACAUACACUCUUAAGUUCGGUAGAGAGAGACGGAAUUCCAGUUGUAGUGGUGAGAUACGUAGAUAACUGGAAAAACACCAGUUGCGACGGCGGUCUCUUGGUCCGAUACUGACGCU